This 446-nucleotide ribosomal RNA is filed under the name uncultured bacterium. RNAcentral's name for it is "bacterial SSU rRNA". It matches the Rfam family "Bacterial small subunit ribosomal RNA", at positions 335 to 799 of the family's 1533-position model. The record is from RNAcentral.
ACUCCUACGGGAGGCAGCAGUGGGGAAUAUUAGACAAUGGGGGCAACCCUGAUCCAGCCAUGCCGCGUGAGUGAUGAAGGCCUUAGGGUUGUAAAGCUCUUUCAGCGAGGAGGAUAAUGACGUUACUCGCAGAAGAACGCCCCGGCUAACUUCGUGCCAGCAGCCGCGGUAAUACGAAGGGGCUAGCGUUGUUCGGAAUCACUGGGCGUAAAGCGCACGUAGGCGGAUUGAUAAGUUAGGGUGAAAUCCCGGGGCUCAACCUCGGAACUGCCUUUGAUACUGUCAGUCUUGAGUCCGAGAGAGGUGAGUGGAACUCCGAGUGUAGAGGUGAAAUUCGUAGAUAUUCGGAAGAACACCAGUGGCGAAGGCGGCUCACUGGCUCGGUACUGACGCUGAGGUGCGAAAGCGUGGGAGCAAACAGGAUUAGAUACCCUGGGAGCACAGAG